Molecule: ribosomal RNA, 490 nt
Filed under: uncultured bacterium
Lineage: Bacteria
Description: partial 16S ribosomal RNA
Rfam family: Bacterial small subunit ribosomal RNA
Source: RNAcentral
AUUGAACGCUGGCGGCAGGCCUAGCACAUGCAAGUCGAACGGUAACAGGAAGCAGCUUGCUGCUUCGCUGACGAGUGGCGGACGGGUGAGUAAUGUCUGGGAAGCUGCCUGAUGGAGGGGGAUAACUACUGGAAACGGUAGCUAAUACCGCAUAAUGUCGCAAGACCAAAGAGGGGGACCUUCGGGCCUCUUGCCAUCGGAUGUGCCCAGAUGGGAUUAGCUUGUUGGUGGGGUAACGGCUCACCAAGGCGACGAUCCCUAGCUGGUCUGAGAGGAUGACCAGCCACACUGGGACUGAGACACGGUCCAGACUCCUACGGGAGGCAGCAGUGGGGAAUAUUGCACAAUGGGCGCAAGCCUGAUGCAGCCAUGCCGCGUGUAUGAAGAAGGCCUUCGGGUUGUAAAGUACUUUCAGCGGGGAGGAAGGGGGUAAAGUUAAUACCUUUGCUCAUUGACGUUACCCGCAGAAGAAGCACCGGCUAACUCCGUG